RNAcentral lists this ribosomal RNA (432 nucleotides) under uncultured bacterium. Its description in RNAcentral is "partial 16S ribosomal RNA". It matches the Rfam family "Bacterial small subunit ribosomal RNA", at positions 29 to 506 of the family's 1533-position model. The record is from RNAcentral.
AACGAACGCUGGCGGCAUGCCUAACACAUGCAAGUCGAACGAGACCUUCGGGUCUAUUGGCGCACGGGUGCGUAACGCGUGGGAACCUGCCCUUAGGUUCGGAAUAACUCCCCGAAAGGGGUGCUAAUACCGGAUAAUGUCUUCGGACCAAAGAUUUAUCGCCUUUGGAUGGGCCCGCGUUGGAUUAGCUAGUUGGUAGGGUAAAAGCCUACCAAGGCGACGAUCCAUAGCUGGUCUGAGAGGAUGAUCAGCCACACUGGGACUGAGACACGGCCCAGACUCCUACGGGAGGCAGCAGUGGGGAAUAUUGGACAAUGGGCGAAAGCCUGAUCCAGCAAUGCCGCGUGAGUGAUGAAGGCCUUAGGGUUGUAAAGCUCUUUUACCCGGGAUGAUAAUGACAGUACCGGGAGAAUAAGCUCCGGCUAACUCCGU